Pezoporus occidentalis (night parrot) is the source of this 1686-nucleotide long non-coding RNA. RefSeq lists it as uncharacterized. The record is from RefSeq and is a predicted model, not a curated record. The transcript is spliced from 5 exons. Lineage: Eukaryota; Metazoa; Chordata; Aves; Psittaciformes; Psittacidae.
UCUGUUAUUCCAGAGCAGGGCAGCCUUUCUCUUCCUCGAAGUCUGCACGGCCAGGGAAAGCUGCGUUUCCCCCUAUCUGCUUUGAACUGGCCUUAGACAAAGGAGGGAAUAUCUCACAAAGGGAGUGAUAACAGCAGUGCCUCCCUGCAAACCAGGUCCUUGCUCUGCAGCAGAGCACCACCUUGCCCCAUUGGAUGCUGGUGAGGAUGUUGUGGCCCUUGGGAAUGUCGCAGCCCAGCCUGGCCAGUGCCUGGGCUUCUCGUGUGGGAGCAGAGCUUGGGAACAGGCAGGAGCAGACCAGGAAACAGCAGAACCGCAGCACUGCAUUUCCUCCCAAGCACUGAGCAGCAAACACUUUCCUUGUGGGCUGCAUGGAAAACUCAUCCUUGUACGGCUCAUCCAGCCUCAUCUUCACCCUCAAUGGCUGCUUCACAAAGUUGGGAGGCAUCUUGGGCUAAUGGAGACGUUUCCCCUCUAUCUGCUGGAAUCUGGGCGUCUGGAAGCAGAGGAGCUCUCAUCCCGCUCCAGGCGGGGCUGAUGGGAUUUGCACCGGUCCCAGUUGCCAUGGAGAAAGUGUUGGAUGGUUUUAAUACAUCUCUGUGAAUUUCUCCCCGGAGUUUUCCCAUGGCAGGCUGGACCGGAGGCACAGAGCGUGAUGGGAUCAGGUAAAGCGGAGCUGAUGUUUUCAGCGAGAAAGGAGACGGCAGAAGAAUGAGGAGGAGCAGAGAGGGAAGGGCUGGCUGUCAGAACCCACGGAGCCUUCUGGAAACAUCGGGAGCAAGACCAGGAUGGGGCUGCCUCGCUUGGCGUGGGUGUGAUGUGCUGAUGAGAAGUGCCUGCAGCCCUGUCCAUCCCCUCCGCUUCCAUCACUGGAGAGGUUCCUGGGACCGAAGAGAUGAGGUGAAGCAGAGACGUGAAACGUUCAGUGUGGGGCCCCCGCGAUGAAGCUGUUGGAUGGAUGAAUAUGGAGUGGCUGAGGUGACCUUCUCAGGAGGUGAUGGAUGCUCUGCCUGUCCCCUGCAUCCCUGGUGCCUGCCGAAGGGAUGGAGCCCUUUGCAGGACAGCGCUCGGCAAAACCCCCACCAACGACAGGGUGCUCGUCACCAAACCACCGCUGUAUGUAGAUCCAUGGGAUUAAUCGCUUUAUCAUCCAAAUACAGGUGGAUUAAUGCACUCUCUUAAUACUCUGUUUAAGCAGCUGAUUUUUUAAAAAGCUGAAUAAUUGGGGGGAAUUACUGUAAAAUCAGAAAAUUUAACAGUUUAUUUACUGCUUAUUGUCAGAGCUGAUGGCCAAGAAAAGCCGGUAGGUCCACACCACGGCCAUGGCCCAAGGGAUGGCCAGGACCUGGGGAGGGAUGGCAGGGAUCAGGGGGAUGCUGGUGUUAUGUAGCCCUGGCUGUGGAAAACAGGCACACCAAAAGCAGCUUCCUCUGUCUCCCUUUUAGCUGCUGAGGAAGUGUUUGCAGUGAUUGCUCCGGCUGGUGCAGCCAAGUCCUGUUAUCAAAACAAGACUGAAAAAGCAAGGAAAUAAUUAAAAAAACCCACCCUGAGGCACUGUUAUUUUCUCUGGAUAAAAACACUUCUUUUGGUAGAAGUGGCAGCAAAACACUUUCAUCUCAGCCCCCCUCUCUGUAACAGCCCAUCUGCUAAGGCAAAUCUGGUGACCGCGUGCCUCAUGUUGUGACU